GGAUGCGAUCAUACCAGCACUAAAGCACCGGAUCCCAUCAGAACUCCGUAGUUAAGCGUGCCUGGGCGAGAGUAGUACUAGGAUGGGUGACCUCCUGGGAAGUCCUCGUGUUCCAUUCC
Molecule: ribosomal RNA, 119 nt
Filed under: Aegilops tauschii subsp. strangulata
Lineage: Eukaryota; Viridiplantae; Streptophyta; Magnoliopsida; Poales; Poaceae
Source: RNAcentral